AUUGAACGCUGGCGGCAGGCCUAACACAUGCAAGUCGAACGAGUGGCGGAUGGGUGAGUAAUGUCUGGGAAACUGCUCGAUGGAGGGGGAUAACGACUGGAAACGGUAGCUAAUACCGCAUACAACUGGACGUGCGUCGAUGGGAUUAGUUAGUGGGGGGGGUAACGGCUCACCUAGGCGACGAUCCCUAGCUGGUCUGAGAGGAUGACAAGCCACACUGGAACUGAGACACGGUCCAGACUCCUACGGGAGGCAGCAGUGGGGAAUAUUGCACAAUGGGCGCAAGCCUGAUGCAGCCAUGCCGCGUGUAUGAAGAAGGCCUUCGGGUUGUAAAGUACUUUCAGCGAGGAGGCGUUACUCGCAGAAGAAGCACCGGCUAACUCCGUGCCAGCAGCCGCGGUAAUUC
Molecule: ribosomal RNA, 406 nt
Filed under: uncultured bacterium
Lineage: Bacteria
Description: partial 16S ribosomal RNA
Rfam family: Bacterial small subunit ribosomal RNA
Source: RNAcentral